RNAcentral lists this ribosomal RNA (253 nucleotides) under uncultured bacterium. Its description in RNAcentral is "partial 16S ribosomal RNA". It matches the Rfam family "Bacterial small subunit ribosomal RNA", at positions 524 to 776 of the family's 1533-position model. The record is from RNAcentral.
UACGUAGGCAGCAAGCGUUGUUCGGAGUUACUGGGCGUAAAGAGUGUGUAGGCGGUUCUCUAAGUUUGGUGUGAAAUCUCCCGGCUUAACUGGGAGGGUGCGCCGAAAACUGGAGGGCUCGAGUAUGGGAGAGGAAAGCGGAAUUCCUGGUGUAGCGGUGAAAUGCGUAGAUAUCAGGAGGAACACCUGUGGUGUAGACGGCUUUCUGGACCGUAACUGACGCUGAGACACGAAAGCGUGGGUAGCAAACAGG